UACGGGGGGAGCAAGCGUUGUUCGGAUUUACUGGGCGGAAAGGGCGCGUAGGCGGUCAGCACAAGUCAGUUGUGAAAUCUCCGGGCUUAACCCGGAAAGGUCAACUGAUACUGUGCGACUAGAGUGCGGAAGGGGCAACUGGAAUUCUCGGUGUAGCGGUGAAAUGCGUAGAUAUCGAGAGGAACACCUGCGGCGAAGGCGGGUUGCUGGGCCGACACUGACGCUGAUGCGCGAAAGCCAGGGGAGCGAACGGG
RNAcentral lists this ribosomal RNA (254 nucleotides) under uncultured bacterium. RNAcentral's name for it is "partial 16S ribosomal RNA". It matches the Rfam family "Bacterial small subunit ribosomal RNA", at positions 524 to 776 of the family's 1533-position model. The record is from RNAcentral.